Molecule: ribosomal RNA, 240 nt
Filed under: uncultured bacterium
Lineage: Bacteria
Description: partial 16S ribosomal RNA
Rfam family: Bacterial small subunit ribosomal RNA
Source: RNAcentral
AGCGUUGUCCGGAUUUAUUGGGCGUAAAGAGCGUGUAGGCGGCCAGGCAGGUCCGUUGUGAAAACUCGAGGCUCAACCUCGAGACGUCGAUGGAAACCAUCUGGCUAGAGUCCGGAAGAGGAGAGUGGAAUUCCUGGUGUAGCGGUGAAAUGCGCAGAUAUCAGGAAGAACACCCGUGGCGAAGGCGGCUCUCUGGGACGGUACUGACGCUGAGACGCGAAAGCGUGGGGAGCGAACAGG